ACGCGUUCCCAGGGGGGCCUCGCUAGGAGGCUGAGAUUCCGCCCGUCCAGCGAUGCCGGACAACGCGGUGACCCUCCGAACCUGAUCCGGUUCAUACCGGCGUAGGGAUGCGGGACAUCGGUGCGG
This 126-nucleotide non-coding RNA is filed under the name Allobosea sp. Root381. RNAcentral's name for it is "Bosea sp. Root381 TPP riboswitch aptamer (THI element)". It matches the Rfam family "TPP riboswitch aptamer (THI element)". From Rfam's summary of the family: Vitamin B(1) in its active form thiamin pyrophosphate (TPP) is an essential coenzyme that is synthesised by coupling of pyrimidine and thiazole moieties in bacteria. The previously detected thiamin-regulatory element, thi box was extended, resulting in a new, highly conserved RNA secondary structure, the THI element, which is widely distributed in eubacteria and also occurs in some archaea. Analysis of operon structures identified a large number of new candidate thiamin-regulated genes, mostly transporters, in various prokaryotic organisms. RNAcentral also lists the same sequence under 1 other name. Lineage: Bacteria; Pseudomonadati; Pseudomonadota; Alphaproteobacteria; Hyphomicrobiales; Alloboseaceae. The record is from Rfam by way of RNAcentral.